GGGUUGUGAGGUUAAGCGACUAAGCGUACACGGUGGAUGCCCUGGCAGUCAGAGGCGAUGAAGGACGUGCUAAUCUGCGAUAAGCGUCGGUAAGGUGAUAUGAACCGUUAUAACCGGCGAUUUCCGAAUGGGGAAACCCAGUGUGAUUCGUCACACUAUCAUUAACUGAAUCCAUAGGUUAAUGAGGC
This 188-nucleotide ribosomal RNA is filed under the name Escherichia coli. RNAcentral describes it as "partial 23S ribosomal RNA". It matches the Rfam family "Bacterial large subunit ribosomal RNA", at positions 1 to 180 of the family's 2925-position model. Lineage: Bacteria; Pseudomonadati; Pseudomonadota; Gammaproteobacteria; Enterobacterales; Enterobacteriaceae. The record is from RNAcentral.